Molecule: ribosomal RNA, 253 nt
Filed under: uncultured bacterium
Lineage: Bacteria
Description: partial 16S ribosomal RNA
Rfam family: Bacterial small subunit ribosomal RNA
Source: RNAcentral
UACAGAGGGUGCGAGCGUUAAUCGGAAUUACUGGGCGUAAAGCGCGCGUAGGCGGCUUUGCAAGUCGGGUGUGAAAUCCCCAGGCUUAACCUGGGUACUGCAUUCGAGACUGCAUUGCUAGAGUAUGGGAGAGGGAAGUGGAAUUUCCGGUGUAGCGGUGAAAUGCGUAGAUAUCGGAAGGAACAUCAGUGGCGAAAGCGACUUCCUGGACCAAUACUGACGCUCAUGUGCGAAAGCGUGGGGAGCAAACAGG